CCUACGGGCGGCCGCAGUGAGGAAUAUUGGUCAAUGGACGAGAGUCUGAACCAGCAACGCAGCGUGAAGGAUGACUGCCCUAUGGUUUUUAACCUUCUUUUAUAUGGGAAUAAAAUGUUCCACGUGUGGGGUUUUGUAUGUCCCAUAUUAAUAAGGAUCGGCUAACUCCGUGCCGGCAGCCGCGGUAAUACGGAGGAUCCGAGCGUUAUCCGGAUUUAUUGGGUUUAAAGGGAGCGUAGGUGGAUUGUUAAGUCAGUUGUGAAAGUUUGCGGCUCAACCGUAAGAUUGCAGUUGAAACUGGCAGUCUUGAGUACAGUAGAGGUGGGCGGAAUUCGUGGUGUAGCGGUGAAAUGCUUAGAUAUCACGAAGAACUCCGAUGGCGAAGGCAGCUCACUGGACUGCAACUGACACUGAGGCGCGAAAGUGUGGGUAGCAAACAGGAUUAGAUACCCGAGUAGUC
Molecule: ribosomal RNA, 460 nt
Filed under: uncultured bacterium
Lineage: Bacteria
Description: partial 16S ribosomal RNA
Rfam family: Bacterial small subunit ribosomal RNA
Source: RNAcentral